This 501-nucleotide ribosomal RNA is filed under the name uncultured bacterium. RNAcentral describes it as "partial 16S ribosomal RNA". It matches the Rfam family "Bacterial small subunit ribosomal RNA", at positions 30 to 523 of the family's 1533-position model. The record is from RNAcentral.
AUUGAACGCUGGCGGCAUGCCUUACACAUGCAAGUCGAACGGCAGCACGGGUGCUUGCACCUGGUGGCGAGUGGCGAACGGGUGAGUAAUAUAUCGGAACGUACCUUAUUGUGGGGGAUAACGCAGCGAAAGCUGUGCUAAUGCCGCAUAAUCCCUAAGGGGGAAAGCGGGGGACCGUAAGGCCUCGCGCAAUUAGAGCGGCCGAUACCUGAUUAGCUAGUUGGUGAGGUAAAGGCUCACUAAGGCAACGAUCAGUAGCUGGUCUGAGAGGACGAUCAGCCACCCUGGGACUGAGAAACGGCCCAGACUCCGACGGGAGGCAGCAGUGGGGAAUUUUGGACAAGGAGGGCAACCCGGAUCCAGCAAUGCGGCGUGAGUGAAGAAGGCCUUCGGGUUGUAAAGCUCUUUUGUCAGGGAAGAAACAGCAGCUCUAACACAGUUUGCGAAUGACGGUACCUGAAGAAUAAGCACCGGCUAACUACGUGCCAGCAGCCGCGGUAA